This 558-nucleotide ribosomal RNA is filed under the name Saccharomyces cerevisiae (brewer's yeast). Its description in RNAcentral is "partial large subunit ribosomal RNA". It matches the Rfam family "Eukaryotic large subunit ribosomal RNA", at positions 50 to 610 of the family's 3401-position model. Lineage: Eukaryota; Fungi; Ascomycota; Saccharomycetes; Saccharomycetales; Saccharomycetaceae. The record is from RNAcentral.
GCGGAGGAAAUAGAAACCAACCGGGAUUGCCUUAGUAACGGCGAGUGAAGCGGCAAAAGCUCAAAUUUGAAAUCUGGUACCUUCGGUGCCCGAGUUGUAAUUUGGAGAGGGCAACUUUGGGGCCGUUCCUUGUCUAUGUUCCUUGGAACAGGACGUCAUAGAGGGUGAGAAUCCCGUGUGGCGAGGAGUGCGGUUCUUUGUAAAGUGCCUUCGAAGAGUCGAGUUGUUUGGGAAUGCAGCUCUAAGUGGGUGGUAAAUUCCAUCUAAAGCUAAAUAUUGGCGAGAGACCGAUAGCGAACAAGUACAGUGAUGGAAAGAUGAAAAGAACUUUGAAAAGAGAGUGAAAAAGUACGUGAAAUUGUUGAAAGGGAAGGGCAUUUGAUCAGACAUGGUGUUUUGUGCCCUCUGCUCCUUGUGGGUAGGGGAAUCUCGCAUUUCACUGGGCCAGCAUCAGUUUUGGUGGCAGGAUAAAUCCAUAGGAAUGUAGCUUGCCUCGGUAAGUAUUAUAGCCUGUGGGAAUACUGCCAGCUGGGACUGAGGACUGCGACGUAAGUCAAG